This is a long non-coding RNA of Brassica napus (rape), 2297 nucleotides long. RefSeq lists it as uncharacterized. The record is from RefSeq and is a predicted model, not a curated record. The transcript is spliced from 2 exons. NCBI's taxonomy places the organism in Eukaryota, Viridiplantae, Streptophyta, Magnoliopsida, Brassicales, Brassicaceae.
AACUGUACAUAUUGCUUAUAGUUUGUUUUUUAUAACUUUUUCUAUUCGUGAUCUAAAGUCUAUUUUUGCCUGCUUUCUAGGGUGUGGAGAUAGCAGCAUCGUGCAAAAGGAAUCAGAUUUCUCGCCUUCAACGCGAAUUACCAGUUGGAGAGUGGAAAACAAUUGAUAUGUUUGCAGUUUUGGGUAUUUCUGGACAGUAUCGCCCAACAACCCAUCGAUACAAGUUGUCUUUUUCAGAAGAAACCAUGAUAACAAAAUGUCAAGUUCUAUCUGAUGAUCACUAUCAUUCUCUAGCAAGUUACGAUGAUCUAAGGAAAAUCGAUGAGAAGAAGAAUUUUUUCCUUAAAGAUGUUAUUGGACAAGUUGUAGAUCUAGAUGGAAUUCAAACUGUUCAAGCUAGGGGGAAAGACGAGCAGAGAGUUCAGUUUCGUUGCGACGCCAGGUUAAUUAUAAUCAUCAUAUAUAGUUGUUAAUGUUAUUUUUGGUAUCUGUAGUUUCAUACUAACUACAUCAAUUUGACUUUGACUUUGUUUGCGUUUCAAUCUGUAAACAUCAAGUGGUGAUGAUGUUGCGUGUUGCUUGUGGGGGAGGUUCGCGGAACAACUCGACCAAGUGUUCCAAGAUAACAACAAUGAAAUUGUUAUUUGCUUGAUAAGGUUUGCUAAGAUCACCUUUUUCAGAGGUAUACAUUAUAUGAUUUCAAACCAUCCACUAUAUCUAAAUCCUUAAGUUGUUUUAUUUAAUUAAACAUUUGCAUUCAUCUUUAGGUGAAGUACAAGUCAGCAAUGCUUUUGAUGCUUCAAUCGUGGCUAUAAACCCAAAAUUGGAGGAAGCAAUUGAACUGAAAGAAAAGUAAGUUCAUAUUACUAUUUUAUGAUGCUAGAGCCUUUAUUUAUUUGUACUUAUAUAAGUCUAAUCAUAUAUUAAAACAUCCAUGUUAGGAUUUUGGCGAAUGAUCUUCCUCUGGCUCUUAUUGAGAAAAGAGAGGAAAAGAAACUUACCAAGAAACAAAAACAAGAUUGGGAUGAGAUUCCUGUUAGAGCAAUUUCUGAGAUAUUGGAAGCUACUGAGGUAAAUUGCAGAUGAUUCCAAUUCUUUGAUUGUUUUAAAUAUAUUGUAUCUCUAAUCUAAUUCUGCGUGUGUAUAAUUUUUCAGGUUGAGAGUUGCAAAAUCAUUUGUUCUAUUGAGUCAAUAGACACUGAUUGGGGUUGGUUCUACUUUGGUUGUAACCGAAACCGACACAACCGACGUGUUACUAAGCAAGUUCCUAAACUUUCUAUUGCUGGUUCUGUAAUGUCAAAUCCCAGCCAGAAACCACUUUUCUAUUGUGACAUAUGUCGUGGGAUUACACCUGAUGUCUCUCCAAAGUAAGUGACAGAGCAUUUUCUGUUGUUUGUCUUUAAGUUAAUUUACAGCAGUAAGUAUUUUGAAUACUAAAAAUGUAUUUUGUACUGUUAGGUACAAACUUCAUUUGUUUGUUAAAGAUGAUAGCGAUUCAUGCAUAGUAAUGAUGCUUGACUCUGUUGCUCAAUCUAUUAUUGGUAGUGCUGCAACUGAACUUUGGGAUGGUUCCUAUGAUGAGAUACUUUUUUUCUUUUAUUAUGAGUAUUUUUGAUCCACUAUGUCUAUCCUAAAAUCUAAUGUUUUUUGGCAUUCGUCUUUUAGAUUGAAGAUCCAACUAUCCUACCUCAGCCUAUUGAAAGUUUAGUUGGAAAAUCCUUUUGUUUUGGUAUUUCGCUAAGCACUGACAAUGUAAACAAUGGAAAUACCACUUUUAAAGUGUCUGAGGUCUGGUCUGGAGAUAAAAUUCAGAAAAUUGAAUCUCAGACAGAGCCAUGCUCCUUGCUGGACACUUAUUCGUCAACUCUUUCUGGUGGUGAGGUAAAUUAUUUUAGUUUGUUACUUAUUUAAUUUAUUCCCAUGGUACAUCAGUAUCAGUAAUUGGACAAUCUGCAUUCAAACUCUAACACAUGCGUUGAUGCUUAGGUUUCCCUGGUAGAUCCAAACAAAGAAAGUUCAUCUGAAGGUUUUUCAACCCCAUUCUCAAAGCGCAAAGAAGCAGAUGCUGAUCUAUUGGACAUGACAUCUACGUCUAAGAAACCUUGCACUCAGAAGAUCAAGAUGGAGAAUACAAAGACUGAAGAGUAGUUGAUGACCUUGAUGAUUUGAUGUCGUCUUUUGAAAUUUGGGAGCUUUUAUUUUUAUCUAUUUUAAUGUUGUAUGCGUGAUUUUCAUUUCAUUGGGUUUUGGAUGGUUUUUUCCCCUAAUUUUUAAAAAUAAAAUUGGUUUUUUCUAUA